GAACGCACCUUGCGCCCUUUGGCUAUUCCGAAGGGCAUGCCUGUUUGAGUAUCAUGAACACCUCAACUCUCGUGGUUUGCUACGAUGAGCUUGGACUUUGGGGGUCUUGCUGGCCUGUGGUCGGCUCCUCUCAAAUGAAUCAGCUUCCCAGUGUUUGGUGGCGUCACAGGUGUGAUAACUAUCUACGCUUGUGGUUUUCCACCAGAUAACCUUCAGCGAUGGGGGUUCGCUGGGGCUCAUAAACGUCUUUCCUCAGUGAAGACAGCUUUUUGAACGUUUGAUCUCAAAUCAGGUAGGACUACCCGCUGAACUUAAG
RNAcentral lists this unclassified non-coding RNA (316 nucleotides) under uncultured Tomentella. RNAcentral describes it as "sequence contains 5.8S rRNA gene". Lineage: Eukaryota; Fungi; Basidiomycota; Agaricomycetes; Thelephorales; Thelephoraceae. The record is from RNAcentral.